Long non-coding RNA from Rhineura floridana, 7070 nucleotides. RefSeq lists it as uncharacterized. The transcript is spliced from 2 exons. The record is from RefSeq and is a predicted model, not a curated record. NCBI's taxonomy places the organism in Eukaryota, Metazoa, Chordata, Lepidosauria, Squamata, Rhineuridae.
CUGAAAAGUAUCAAACAAAUGAACAAGCUAGCAGCUUCAUUUCUUAUCUGCAGUACAGAGUGUAAUGACUAACCCCCACCUUUGGAAUGCAUGUGAAACUGCCUGGAAACGGGAACCUAUAUCUGUGUUACUGUAACUUUUAGACCUCACAAAGUGACAUGAGUCUAUUGUGAGCUUUCCGCUUUGCAAAACGUAUAGAUAAUAAAAUAGCUUUGGUUAUGAUUCAGAGUCUCGCGUUGUGUGAGUAUUGGGGUUCUCACCCAGUGGAAAACGAACCUUAAAUUCUAGUGUAACAGUUCUGGUGACUCUGCCGGGACCCCUUCUGGUUAACCUCACAAGUACUUGCACCGCGCCAGAGAGCUGGGGAAGAGUGCUCCAGGCUGUUUUUGGCCUGACCCCAGGGCUGGGCAGACGGAAAGCAAGUACUAUGUGAGUAUUGAUUGAGGGCCCCUAUAGAGACUUGAACGAACCAACGCUCAUCCAGGGGGGCGGCCUGCUGAAAAGCUCAGGGGAUCCUGGGGAAUGUGGAAACUCCCAAUUGACUCUGAGUGUUGAACACAAGAUGAGUCAGAUUUUUCUUGAGGAAACAGGUGAAAAACUCAAAAAUUGAGACCAGGCGCCAUGUUGAAAUGGGUUUUAGUUAAAUUGUGUAAACUAAGAAAACUAUGAGAGCUUUGAAAUGACCUGAGGGGGGAAACCCUGGGUAUAUGGGAUAAAGUUGUUGUAAAUGUUUGUAUGAAAUGGUCAUGCGCUUGUGAGAAAAAGAGAAAAAGCAUGGUUGGGCAUAAGAUGUGUAUGAAUUGAGUACUCAUGUAUGAAUGUGUAAAGGUUUCUUGAAGUGUCUGUAUAAAGGUUUUCUGUGGAAAUGUUAUAAGAGAAUUGUUCCCCCUUGGCUAUUGCUGUUUAAAACAUCUCUGCUUGCUGCCUUUGUCUUUCACAAGACUUAAAGAACCUAAUCUGUUUCUUUAGUAAUCUUUGAAGUUAGUGUGAAGAAAUUUGCUCUGUUUGUUUAAGCAAGUGAUUAAGAGAGGUGGUCCUGGAAGUUUGGGGUUUAGACAGAAGGUUUGAGCUACGUAGACAGUGGAAAGGUUAAAGAGACGGUGAUUAAUUGUGAUGAGUAAGGAAUGUUUUGAGCAAAUUAGUGAGUUGUUUUUAGGGAGAAGAAAAAGAGAAUAAUGUUAGAGUCUUUUUUCCUUUGAUCCAUUACGGGGUUUAGUUCUAACACUGCAGCUCGUUCUCUGGGUAUGUGUGUGUCAGUAACCCCUCCUUCUCCCCCCCCUUGGCAGGCAAGCAGCCAAGAAGAGUCAAGCAGCUCCAUGAAGCCUGAUAUAAUUUUAUUAUAUCUUCUAAAAGUUUAAUCUUUUUUAUCCCACUCGGCUUUCCUGGCAGAAGCUAGGAAUCUCCUUUAUUUCACUUGUCCGUCUUGAUGGAUAAAUGUUAACAAUGCUUGUUUUGUUUUUAUAAAGGAGAACCUUCAAGGUCUCCCUUUUGCUCUCACCUUGUUCGGAGAAGUUCUUUCAGAUUGUUUUCUCCAUUGACUUUUUAUUUUGCAGCGGUUGAAAAAAACAACAAUUGCUUUGUGUUAAAUGAAUGUAGUGUUUUUAAUCUGGUGUGUUUUUGUUUGUCUUUCUUGAAAAGAAUUGCAAACAACGACAUGUGUUUUUGUAUGACUUUUGAGAACGUCUUUUUAAAGGCUGGCAACAUUUCUUUUGUAAUGCAGCAUAAUUUGGAAAAACUGGGGGUCAUCAUUUGGGAACUGGGAAAAUUUGGCAAGAAAACCAGGCUUGGGUUUUUCAAAUGAAUCCAGCCUGCAAAAACCAGAGGUCUUUGGUACAAAUUCUGUAGCUACGGGGAGAGGCAAUUCUCUCCUAAAACAGGGUGUCAUGGAUCACAGUGCAAGACCUUCUUUGGCACAAAAGGAAAAAGAAACAGUUGAAACCAGGAGGGCUCCUGUCUUUGAGCAAAGUCCUAUUAAUGUUCUUAAAGGGGAACAUACAAAAGCAUCUUCUGAAAGUGCAGGCCCUUGCUUAAAUGCUUCAGAGUUACUUGAAAACACACAAGAUGUGCCCACUUCCAUGGAAAAAAAUACUGAUUUGAAUGCUUCCCUUGGGUAUUCUUUUCCUGAGGAACAAUCUCUUGUUGGCAAACAGCCUUUGGAUCAAAACAAGACUCAAAGUAUAGAGCUUCUAGCUUUGGGAAGAGUCUAUCCAGACAUUGAAUUUACUUUGAAAAUUAAUACAAUUUGGCUUCCAAAACAGCAGUUGGUUUCUGAUGCCAUUUGCAUGCAAAUAGACAAAUUGCAAAGCCCUGAUUCCAACAGGGAGUUGCCUUUUUUAUUGUCACACUUUGUGCGUGUAAAUUCAGGCACUGGUGCAAAUGUGUUAUUGCAUGCAGUCCUUCAUAAGCUGAGUAAGAGAAACUCAGAGCAAUUGAUCUGCAAACAGGGUGUUCACUGGUGAAAUUCCCUGACGUGGUACAAAUGAAAGCACAAUUGUAUUUGGAAUGUUAUCUACUAACUGUGCUUUGUUUUGCAUUUGCAGUAAGAGAAAUCCAAAAGAGAAAGAUCCCAUAUGUAUCAGAAUUAAGCACAAAAUUAGGGAAUGGAAUUUUAGAUUCAAAUGCAUUACACAAAAAGAUGCUUGUAGAACUAAGUAUUUUCUUUGGGCUUCAUUGAAGGUAAAAGUUUUAUAGUCAAGCAGUGGAAGGACAAACUGCUUGAUGUGUUUUCUCCCUCCAGUCUUAGUUGUGUGCAUGCAUCCUAAAUUCAGGACUUUAUUGCCCAGGAUGUACAGUAAUAUGGUAUUCUUUAAUGGGCCAGCUUAAAGGGUGUGAUAUGUAUGUUUUGUUUUAACUAUGCCAGUUCUUUUCAGCCAAGUCAUGACCAACAAGAAGAAUUUGGGAAAUUGUAAAAGGCCUUAAGUUUAGUAGCUACACAAUGUUCUUUUUUAUCACAAAUGCCGGCUUCUCUUCCUUCCUCUUGCAAAGAGAAACUUAAUUUUCCUCUCUGGGGCUCCUUUUCCUGUUUUUCCCAGUAUUUCUGUAUCUUUCCAGCAACCUCUGCACAUGAUCAGAGGCUAGGGAAAUCGGUUAUGUGUUUGUCUGUCUGACAUCUUUUUACAAUAUGACCCGGUGCAAGGUAUAAAGCAGUCCAAUUGUCUCGUCCAGAAGCCUCAGCUGUGGCCAUAAAUGUGUGUUGUUUUUAUAUUUUCCUUCCUGCACUCAAUCAUUUGUAAAGGAAGCAUUUUAAGAACAUAAGAACAUAAGAAGAGCCUGCUGGAUCAGGCCAAUGGCCCAUCUAGUCCAGCAUCCUGUUCUCACAGUGGCCAACCAGGUGCCUGGGGGAAGCCCGCAAGCAGGACCCGAGUGCAAGAACACUCUCCCCUCCUGAGGCUUCCGGCAACUGGUUUUCAGAAGCAUGCUGCCUCUGACUAGGGUGGCAGAGCACAGCCAUCAUGGCUAGUAGCCAUUGAUAGCCCUGUCCUCCAUGAAUUUGUCUAAUCUUCUUUUAAAGCCGUCCAAGCUGGUGGCCAUCACUGCAUCUUGUGGGAGCAAAUUCCAUAGUUUAUUUUCUCCCAAGGAAUGUUUUCUUUUUGCAUGUGUGUCACAGGAGAUUUUAUUACAGGCGUUUUUGACUGGAGCCUCACAAAUUAUUGAUAUCCUUGCCAAAAAUAUUUAGCGGUAAGGGAAAAGUGGUGGUGUUUGGCCAUCUGGCAGGUGGUACAUGGCCAUGGGUAUUAUUCUUUUUAUGUAUAUAUAUAUAUACCCCCUAUGAGUUUUGGGCUUGAGUAUGCUGUUUUGCCAUGGAAAAAGGGUAGGUAGGCAUAUAUGGUAUGUACAGAUGUGUACAAUAAUAAUGAUGUGGAAAAAUAACAUUACAAUUUAGUGUUUGGCUAUAUACACAUGUUUUCAUAUCUCAUUCAAAUAAUGAGUGAUUCUAUAUUGGGUCUUAUAAUGUGUGAGAAGUAGUAAUUUCCUGGGUUCAACUUUUUCCAAUUCUUGUAGCAGUUAAAGCAAAGAAAAAGGAGGCCUGGAUACACGCAGCAUGUGUAAAAAGGACAUUACAUCCAAUAGAUGCCUUCUCAACCAUGGGACCCUGAUGCUUUGUUUUCCUCAGAAGGACUGUUUUUAAAGGAUCUGAUGAAUUCCCACCUCGACAUGCCAGUGGGAGAAAAGGCAUUUCUAAAAGUCACACGGGGGAGGUGGGUUCUGAGAAAUACAGUCUCCGUACUUUUUCCUUCCAGAAAGAAAGCUGCUGCAAUAAACUGUUUUUCUCAUCAUUUGAAUUUCUGAUUAGCAUCAGCAACCCACAGACUGAUCAAUUAAGCUGACUAUCUGAUCUUUUGAAGAUGAACUUUGUACAAACCUGCAGUAUGUUUUAAGACCAUGAUUUUAAUUGUAAUAUUGAAUGUAACCAUUUAUGCAUUGUGUUUUAUGUGACUAUUUAAGCAUUGGCUGUUUUUUCUUACAUAGUUUAAGUGUUAAGAAUGUUUUGCUCUUGGGAUGUUUUUGGCCUUUUAAAUCCCUCGUGAGGAAUAGUGCAAUGCCCAGGAAUUGCACCAGUGGGCUAUAAUUAAGCAUGCAAGAUGGGAAACAAUUAAAGAAAUGAAUCAAGUUCAACUAUUGUAUAUUCUGGACAUGGGUGCAUGUGCCUUAGAACAUUUUGUGAUUAUGUUGUUAUUGAUAAGUGUUAUAUACAACCUAUGCUAAGAUAUAUCAAUGGAUGCUUUGUGGUAUUGAGGAAAUAGUAGGAUGUGAUUUUUCAUUUAAAGUCCCUGUAUGAAUCAUCCAGAGAAUAGAUCUGUUUCAACACCUCAAACCCAUUGCAUUAGGUUAUGGCCUAGCUGAUCUCCAGAAGUUACUUUUUCAUCCUAUGUUACAGAAACAAUUAGAAGCAAUUAAACAAAUGGGAGAACAAGCUACACGUCAGAUAGCACAUGAUUGCUAUACAGUCACUUACAUUAUAGAUAAGUUCUUAUAGAUAGAGACACACAGAUGGUGGAAUUCUCUUUGGUUGGGGUGAAGACGCCAAAGAAGGUUUAAUUCUUAUAGUGCACCCCAUUGUGGUGAUUUUGAUAUUUUAAUUCUGGUCUUCGUUUUAAGGGCCCUUGUGAUAUGGAUUCAAACUUAAAUGGCACAGAUACGCCGAAUGGAAGUCAGCAUUGGAGUCUAGGGGCAAGAUAGUGACUGAGAGGUGAAAGGACAUCUGUAUGGGUAUGCCCUUCACCGGGGAAGUGUAAUAGCUCGGCUAACCCUAUUUUGGUUCAAGUGGAAUCUAGGAGGUGCAAGGCCAAGAGCUAUAGCUUCCACCCCAACUCUCACACAUGCCCCCACCGGAUGGUAUGACUAGUAAUGCGUUCCAAAGGUUUUGUGCAAAGAAAAACAAGGGCAAAGUUAAACGCUGUUGCAUAAAUGUUAUCUUAUUCCUUUGGCAAAUUUCCCUCACCUACAGUGAAUCCCAUUGUUCGUUAGAAAGAGCCUUAGUUGUUUUUAGUGUUAAUUAAAAGCAUACAUGCAGAUAUACACGCACGCAUAUGAGGUUUUCUGGCCUGACUUAAUAUAAAAAGCAUUCAGGACAGUGAAACCUUCCUGUGUUAGAAACCCAGGGAAGUUAGUUUUUCAUUUAAGGCAAUAGGUGGUUCAAGGCUCUCCACAAGAGGAAAUUAACGGUUUCCCUGCCCUAAAUGCUUUUGGGGGAGGACUGUUACACUGAAGUUUGAAUUAAAAGCUUUUCUGUACCUAUAGAAAUGUUGACAAUACAUGUAGAAUGAUGACAAUGACCUUUGGUAAGUUGGCAACAUUAGGUCGUUGUCCAUUUGAUAGGACUCAGCAAACUGAAAAGUAUCAAACAAAUGAACAAGCUAGCAGCUUCAUUUCUUAUCUGCAGUACAGAGUGUAAUGACUAACCCCCACCUUUGGAAUGCAUGUGAAACUGCCUGGAAACGGGAACCUAUAUCUGUGUUACUGUGCUGCUGUAACUUUUAGACCUCACAAACUGACAUGAGUCUAUUGUGAGCUCUCCGCUUUGCAAAACGUAUAGAUAAUAAAAUAGCUUUGGUUAUGAUUCAGAGUCUCGCGUUGUAUUCCAAAGAACAGCCAUGGAUUCUGCAGCAGUGAAGACAUCUCUGUCAGAGUCUGGGGAUUCCACUGAGAUUGUGAGAGAGUCCAUUUGAAGCUUGUUUGCUGAAUUACCUUUGGAAUCUCACCUUCCCUGAAACAAAUCAAAGGUGAUCCUGCAAUUGCGUGGCAUCGGAAACCUGUGAUAUCAUCAUCGCACAUGCCAAUGAACAAUUUGUAUUCACCAGUCAUCUUUCAAGUUCAUCACUGAUACAGGGGACUUUGAUUCCAACACACAGCCAAAGAUUUCCACAGCAGGCAUUUAUUGCUGGAGAAAGAUUGGUUGAAGACAAAGCUCUUCCUCCUACACCAGACAACAGAACUGUACAAAUGUAGGGAUGUUUCCAUGCUCCUGUACCUUCUUUUGGAUGAAGCUCUGAAGCGGAUGAAGCGGAUGAAGCUCUGAAGCGGAUGAAGACAUUCUUGAGGAACGCUGUUUCAGAUGACAGCCUUGGUAAUGCUGUCAGUUGAGAAAUGACUGAGCAAACUUUGUAUAUAUGACAUCAUGAGAAAUCUUCUGAAGAAUUGGAGGAUAGGGGUGGCUGUAAGGGGUGGUGGAGGCCACAAACCAAUCAAUAAAUAGCCAAGUGCAACAGCAUGGAAACCUUCUGCACCAAUGCUCCAAAUAGUGGAAAACUUGGAGGAAAGGGGUGGCUGUAAGGGGAGGUGGAGGCCACACACAGUUUCUCCCAGCAGAGAAGCAGCUGUGGCAGCAGGGACCCCUUCUGAACCAAGGCAAGACUCUUUAAGGAACCUUGAAAAGAAAUGCUAAGCAAUUGUACUAUUGCACUGCUUAAGUGUCUACUGUUUCUUGAGAAGGGAGAAGGAGGAUAGAGAGAGAACCAGAAGAGGUAGAAGCCACACACACUUUCUCCUCAAAUAUCUCCUCAAAAAAUGUUAAUAAAAAUAACCAGGAUUAAAUUAACCUGAAAAGGAAAUAAAUGUAUUGAUAAAUA